GUCGACAUAGAAAGAUAACAGCAGGUUCUUCAAAGAAGAUAACAGCAGGUUCUUCAUGAACACUAAAGAUUCCAGGAAUUCCGAGAGCAAAUAGUUUAGUCCUGGAAAGAGCCUAAGAAACUACGAAAGGAGCAGAAGGAAGCACACUGCAACAUAGAAGAAAGAACGCCUUCAAAAGGUUGAGAAAAUCCUUCAUCUUAAGUCGCCAUGAUAAAAGCUUGGAUUAAGUUCUCAGCACUACGUUUCUGCUCAGGGGUGCCAGAUAUCUGUGCUAUGCGUUCAGAUCGGGAAGACUUUGAUUCAACAAUUUCUAUACGAGCUCCAGAGAUCUUCUGGAUGUUAUCAAUGUUUGUUCCCCCUCUACCCAUAACUUUACCCAGAGCAUUUGCAGGAAUCAGCACUUCAAUGUAGGAAGGUAGACUGCUGCCAUAGAUCUUUGAUGAGUAAGAUGAAAG
RNAcentral lists this unclassified non-coding RNA (455 nucleotides) under Hevea brasiliensis (rubber tree). The record is from RNAcentral. Lineage: Eukaryota; Viridiplantae; Streptophyta; Magnoliopsida; Malpighiales; Euphorbiaceae.